Molecule: ribosomal RNA, 253 nt
Filed under: uncultured bacterium
Lineage: Bacteria
Description: partial 16S ribosomal RNA
Rfam family: Bacterial small subunit ribosomal RNA
Source: RNAcentral
UACGAAGGGUGCGAGCGUUAUUCGGAAUCACUGGGCGUAAAGGGUGCGUAGACGGUAUGUUAAGUUUGUCGUUAAAGACUCUAGCCUAACUGGAGGGUUGCGAUGAAAACUGGCGUGCUAGAGGAUGAGAGAGAGAAGUGGAAUUCCUGGAGUAGCGGUAAAAUGCGUGGAUCUCAGGAGGAACACCAAUGGCGAAGGCAGCCUCUUGGCUCAUUCCUGACGUUGAGGCACGAAAGCGUGGGGAGCGAACAGG